RNAcentral lists this ribosomal RNA (462 nucleotides) under uncultured bacterium. RNAcentral describes it as "partial 16S ribosomal RNA". It matches the Rfam family "Bacterial small subunit ribosomal RNA", at positions 29 to 507 of the family's 1533-position model. The record is from RNAcentral.
AUGCACGCUGACAGAAUGCUUAACACAUGCAAGUCGAUGGGGAAGUGGUGCUUGCACCAUGGUAACCAUGGCGGACGGGUGAGUAACACGUAAGGAACUUACCUGCGGGACCGGGAUAACAGCAGGAAACUGCUGACAAGACCGGAUAAGGUCAUUAAGCUGCAUAGCUUAGUGAUGAAAGGAGACGCCUGCGGAGAGCCUUGCGUCCUAUUAGCUAGUUGGAGGGGUAACGGCCCACCAAGGCGAAGAUAGGUAGCCGGCCUGAGAGGGUGGACGGCCACAAGGGGACUGAGAUACGGCCCUUACUCCUACGGGAGGCAGCAGUGGGGAAUAUUGGACAAUGGGGGCAACCCUGAUCCAGCAAUUCUGUGUGCACGAAGACGGUUUUCGGAUUGUAAAGUGCUUUCAGCAGGGAAGAAGGAAGUGACGGUACCUGCAGAAGAAGCGACGGCUAAAUACGUG